CAAUAGCGUAUAUUUAAGUUGUUGCAGUUAAAAAGCUCGUAGUUGGAUUUCGGUUAAGAGCGACCGGUCCGCCGUUUGGUGUGCACUGGUUGGUUUUAACUUCCUGUAGAGGACGUGCUCUGGGUUUAACGACCUGGACUCGGAGUCUACGUGGUUACUUUGAAAAAAUUAGAGUGUUCAAAGCGGGCUUACGCUUGAAUAUUUCAGCAUGGAAUAACACUAUAGGACUCCUGUCCUAUUUCGUUGGUCUCGGGACGGGAGUAAUGAUUAAGAGGAACAGUUGGGGGCAUUCGUACUUCAUUGUCAGAGGUGAAAUUCUUGGAUUUAUGAAAGACGAACUUCUGCGAAAGCAUUUGCCAAGGAUGUUUUCAUUA
RNAcentral lists this ribosomal RNA (374 nucleotides) under uncultured eukaryote. RNAcentral's name for it is "partial 18S ribosomal RNA". It matches the Rfam family "Eukaryotic small subunit ribosomal RNA", at positions 592 to 975 of the family's 1831-position model. The record is from RNAcentral.